Molecule: ribosomal RNA, 431 nt
Filed under: uncultured bacterium
Lineage: Bacteria
Description: partial 16S ribosomal RNA
Rfam family: Bacterial small subunit ribosomal RNA
Source: RNAcentral
ACGAACGCUGGCGGCAUGCCUAACACAUGCAAGUCGAACGAGACCUUCGGGUCUAGUGGCGCACGGGUGCGUAACGCGUGGGAAUCUACCCUCAGGUUCGGAAUAACUCAGAGAAAUUUGAGCUAAUACCGGAUGAUGACGUAAGUCCAAAGAUUUAUCGCCUGAGGAUGAGCCGCUUAGGAUUAGGUAGUUGGUGAGGUAAAGGCUCACCAAGCCGACGAUCCUUAGCUGGUCUGAGAGGAUGAUCAGCCACACUGGGACUGAGACACGGCCCAGACUCCUACGGGAGGCAGCAGUGGGGAAUAUUGGACAAUGGGCGAAAGCCUGAUCCAGCAAUGCCGCGUGAGUGAUGAAGGCCUUAGGGUUGUAAAGCUCUUUUACCCGGGAUGAUAAUGACAGUACCGGGAGAAUAAGCUCCGGCUAACUCCGUG